Molecule: ribosomal RNA, 114 nt
Filed under: Larimichthys crocea (large yellow croaker)
Lineage: Eukaryota; Metazoa; Chordata; Actinopteri; Sciaenidae
Source: RNAcentral
GCUUACGGCCAUACCACCCUGAAUGCGCCGAUCUCGUCUGAUCUCGGAAGCUAAGCAGGGUCAGGCCUGGUUAGUAAGGAUGGAGACCGCCUGGGAUACCAGGUGCUGUAAGCU